This 465-nucleotide ribosomal RNA is filed under the name uncultured bacterium. Its description in RNAcentral is "partial 16S ribosomal RNA". It matches the Rfam family "Bacterial small subunit ribosomal RNA", at positions 28 to 507 of the family's 1533-position model. The record is from RNAcentral.
GACGAACGCUGGCGGCGUGCUUAACACAUGCAAGUCGAACGGUAAGGCCCUGUCGUGGGUACACGAUCGGCGAACGGGUGAGUAACACGCGAGUAACCUGCCCACCACUUUGGGUGAACGCAAGUCAACUGGCGCGAACACUGGCUAUGUGCGCCCUCUGCAUGGUGGGGGUUGGAAAGAUACGGUGGUUGGGGGUGGACUGGCGGCCGGUUUGCUUGUUUGUUGGGUAGUUGCCUACCUAGGCGGCGACGGGUAGCCGGCCGGAGGGGGUGACCGGCCCCAUUGGGACUGAGAUUCGGCCCAGACUCCCACGGGAGGCAGCAGGGGGGAAUAUUGCACAAUUGGCGCGAGCCUGAUGCAGCAACGCCGCGUGCGGGAUGACGGCCUUCGGGUUGUAAACCGCUUUCAGCAGGGACGAAGCUUUUUGUGACGGUACCUGCAGAAGAAGCACCGGCUAACUACGUG